Molecule: RNA transcript, 1008 nt
Organism: Vicia villosa (hairy vetch)
Lineage: Eukaryota; Viridiplantae; Streptophyta; Magnoliopsida; Fabales; Fabaceae
Exons: 3
Source: RefSeq, a predicted model, not a curated record
UUGUACAUUUGAGGACUUGUCUUUGUUCAUCGGUGUAGCUAAAAUAGAAUAAUAUAAAUAGUAUCCAUGCUUACCUUGUACAUUUGAGGACUUGUCUUUGUUCAUGAAGUCUAUGCCACCAUAUUUUAUUGCUAUAUUGCGUGUAGAGUAAGAAACAGUGUUCAUUCUUAUUCUAUUGGGUGCUAAAAUUUCUGUUACUUCAUUUCACUAACAUACCUUCUUCAUUUUAGUGCACUGCUAAGGUCUACCAUUAGAAAGAUGGAUGCCUCACGGCUCAUCAGAUUGCUAACUUACACCAAAUAUGCAGUAUAUGGACAUCUCCUUCCAAAAUUUGAUGGUGAAUCGUGUAAAGUGCCCGAAACAAAUGUUUGUAAGUUACCUUGUAAUUUCUUAAGUCUACCUGAAAGAUUGCCUCGAUUGUCAAGGCCUUGCAGAAUGAGUUUUGCAUUUUAUCUUUCUUCUUUUUGUGCUUCAAGAUUUUGCUGUGAAAGCUGUUUUCAAAUGUGAGUUUAAUCAUUUUGAUAUAUUGGAUAAACAGCUUCUUGCUAGUACUGUUGUAGUGAGUGCUUGACCUCUUCACUGUGUAAAUGCAGUUGGCUUUAUUGGAUGAUAAAAUUGAUGACUUAUCCUUUAUGCCAAUGAUCCAUUUUUCUGAAUGGCGGGAUGAGUUUUUAUGCCGUCUGUUUUCUUUACUUCUACACUUAGAACCCAACAGUGUUUUGCCUUGAAGAAAAUUUCCAAGUUUGUAAGGGCAGAUAUUCUUCCUGGUGCUAUUGCAGAGAUUGGCCUGCUCUAUUGUGGGUGUGUUCACUUAACCCGGAAGAAGGAGUCAGUCAACUUGUUAAGCCAAUAUUAGUGUCUGUGAUAUCCUCUUUGAAAGGAACACCCGACACUGGAUUUGGAGGCUGUUUUGGGGAUUACCUGGAUGCCUUGUUUCUUGUUAUGCUCGUGGCUACCGCAGGACCUUAAGAUCAAAGCAUAAUUUUCUGGUAAUAUAUUACAUCCGUG